UUAGGUGAGAACUACAUUUGGCUAUUUGCACUAAAGGUUAUAGUUUCUCAUUGAUUUUUCUUACUAUCCUGCUAGGUGUUUGUUUAUUCAGCAGUAUUUUGAACCAUAUUUAUUACAAUGCAGUUAAUAAGAGAAAGAUAGCAGAAAGGAUGAGUGCCCUAUUGGAAUUGUUCCCCAAUAUGAAUGACAGAAUGAGGAAUGCUUCAUGAUGUAUGAGAUUUAGGGUGCCUUAAUAGGGAGCUUUGCUUUAUUAAGCAUCAAGAAGAAAAUAAGAAGAGCGGUAGCAGUUGGUCUUGACAAAGGUGUCUAGGGGUUGUGACAGUUCAGUAUGAAAGUAAAUGAGAUACUUUUGGAGUUCCGUUGUACGCGAAGAGCAAGGCAAAACAUCUGGGAAAGGCGACUAUGAAUCUGCCCAGGUUUGUGGAGGCAUACAUGGUACUAUUCAUUCCAUUGUUCAUGACGAUGAGCUUCAGGCUGUUAUUUUGCCCCCUUCAGUUUGUGAUUGUGUACCCUCUUACAAUGAUGCCCUUUGAUAGCUAUGCUUCAAUGUAUUUAAUUUGUCGGUGGAUUUAUCUAGAAUUAUUUAUUAGCCAUCCUUGGUUUGUUUAAAUCCUUUCUUAAUUUAUGAUUUUGUCUCUUAAAAUG
Long non-coding RNA from Lolium perenne, 645 nucleotides. RefSeq lists it as uncharacterized. NCBI's taxonomy places the organism in Eukaryota, Viridiplantae, Streptophyta, Magnoliopsida, Poales, Poaceae. The record is from RefSeq and is a predicted model, not a curated record.